UGAGGAACUAAAAGCACAAUCAGCUUGAUGUUGAGAAGAAGGGCUGCACAUCAGAGAGGCUGUUUAGUUUCUCAUUCUACUGCAGUGGAAGAACAUUGCUCAUCUGCUGUCUGUUUGGCUUUAACAACUCCAAAGACAUGUUGCUUUACCUGUUUUUACUUUUCUCUCCCUUUAUAGCCCUGAGUUCCAUGAACAGCAUAAAGCCAGAAAGUACUGAAGAACAUGUUGCAGAGGGCAAAAACAUCAACCUGACCUGUACAUAUGAGGGUGAUAUCUACAGUAUCCAGUGGUACCGACAAUACCAGAGAUCCAGUCCAGAGUUCCUGCUCUUCAUCACAGAGGAAGGGUUGACUCAUCCAACUGGUUCUGAUUUCUCAGCUCACAUUGACAAGUCAAAGAAACGUGUUAAACUGGAGAUCAUCUCAGCUAAGGUGUCUGACUCUGCUGUGUACUACUGUGCUCUGCAGCCCACAGUGACAGGAAACACCAAAACU
Molecule: non-coding RNA, 494 nt
Organism: Perca fluviatilis (European perch)
Lineage: Eukaryota; Metazoa; Chordata; Actinopteri; Perciformes; Percidae
Source: the annotation of a RefSeq genome assembly